RNAcentral lists this long non-coding RNA (1842 nucleotides) under Sinocyclocheilus anshuiensis. RNAcentral describes it as "lncRNA (ENSSANG00000028528.1)". Lineage: Eukaryota; Metazoa; Chordata; Actinopteri; Cypriniformes; Cyprinidae. The record is from RNAcentral.
AACCUACCGAAGAAGUUACCGACGCCAUUUUGGCUCAAACAAACUCUGCAUUUCACUUACUAGUGUAUUUAAUUCGUCUUAAGGAAUCGCAUUUUAUACUUAAAGCAUUAAAGAGACCGCACAUGAAGUCACUGCGUGCGUCUGCUAAAAUAACUGCUGUAUCUUUUUCUGAAGUGUAAAGUAUUUUUAAUAAUACACCUGCUAAGUCCUCUGCUAGCAGACCGCUACGUGUCAUCGUUGUUGUGCCCAGAUGAUAAGUUAAACAUUUGGCGAAUGUAAAUAAAAAUGGGUGGAUGCUCCGCUCCAAACUGCUCGAACUCUACAACUAUUGGAAAGCAGCUCUUCCGCUUUCCGAAAGACCCCGUGCGCAUGAGAAAGUGGCUUGUAAACUGUCGGCGUGAUUUUGUACCGACUCCCUGCUCUAGACUGUGCCAGGACCACUUUGAAGAAAGCCAGUUUGAGGAGAUCGCCAGAUCACCAGCAGGGGGAAGGAAGCUCAAACCCAACGCAAUCCCCACACUAUUCAAUGUACCCGACCCUCCCUCUCCUGUCACCCCUCAAGCAGUGGUACCUGUUAAAAAUGAGCCAGUGGAAAAGGACUUGAACAUGGGGGACCAUGGUUACGCCCGCCGACAGCCCCCUGUGGAUUCAGAGGAGGAUGGGGUUCAGAGGGCAGACGAGGAGCGACCUUGCUCUCUCUGCCAGCAUUAUAAAACCAGACUGGAGCAGCAACAGCAGCACACAGUCACACUACAGAGAGAGGCAGAGGAGAUGAAGAAACGCCUUUACAAACUGAGUAAAAUAGAGAAGGGGCUACAGGUGUUUCUGUUUGAGGAUCAGAUACGUGCCCUAACGUUAGCCAAGCGUUCUCGGAGGGCAGUGUGGUCCCAUGGUACUUUACUGACAGCCCGUAAAAUCCGCUGCGCAGUGGGGGUUAAAGGAUACGAGUACCUAAGAGAACUGGGCUACCCUUUGCCUUCUUACAGGACGCUGUGUAAUCGCCUGGAGCCCAAAAUGAUGGUGACCACAAGUAUGCAGGAUGAACUAGCAGAGCUCGGCCUGGGCAUCAUAACAGCUUGUGACAGUCCAGAGGGCAACGUGACGAGCGAUGAAGGACUGAUUGGAGUCAUGACCUGAGACACUGUGUUUGUAAGAAUCUGCACUAAUGCUUGACUGUUAAACCAGCCGAAGGCGAAGCUACGGCAGGACUCACAGAGGAUGUUUGUUUACUGGAUUAAGUUAUUUUGGGUUUUUGCAUUUUAAAACCAUUUGCAUUAAUACCACAACCGUCUAGAGUUGAUUCACUGUUAUCCGUUUUCUUUUCUUCAAGAAAGAAAUGUUUUGGUCUUGCUGCAUCUGGCUGUGUAGUCGAUAUCUCUUGAUGCAAAUAUUGCACCUGUUACCCGAUUUGAGAAAAUUGAGGUAAACUGUUGGUGGAAUAAUUUCAGUUGUUCGCAGAAUCAUAAACUACUAAGAAUGUGCCCUGAAAACCAAAUAUUAUCACUCUAAACUUAAUUUUUGCUACUGAGACCGAGAAGGUUUCGCUUGUUUCUAUGAGAGGAAGUUGACAAAAGAGACUUGAUAAAUGGUCAAAUUGACAUGACGGUGUGGCUAUGUGUAAAGUCACUAUUUUAAAGUGGUAUAUUGGUAGUGGUGCUGUUUUAAAGUGGUGUAAAUCUGGUGUAUGAGUUUAGCAGCCAAAAAAAAUAGCACAUAUUUAUAGAGCCACCACACAAAUGAUUCAUGCUGUUGCCAAACUGAGGGGGCUGUUCUGAAUAAUAAACUUCUGUCUGCAAACCAGAGUUUCUGGUUUCAUUUUUUUUUUUCCUGUGUUCAUGUUUG